GGGGGAGAGAAAGAGAAGUCUUGGCAAGCUGUGUUAAAAAGCAUCUUAAUUUUUGCCCUUUGCUAGGGGAAGAGUGCUUAUAAGCAUGCUUUGAGGAUCACCUGCAUCUGAAUCCCUUGGGGCAUUUUCUAAAAAUGCCGAUUCCUGGCCCUCAACCUACUGAAUGGCCAUCUCUGGGGCGAGGCCUGCGGUUCCACAUUUGAGCGGGUCCUGCCAAGUUGAGAACGUUACUGAAACAAGUGGCCCCCAGAAGUCGUCCUGGAAAUAAGGAGAUGGAGGGGACUGCUUUUUGUGGAGAAAAGUUUCUUUGGUGCUCGUGCUAAGGCCUGGCCUGGACAUCUGCAGUUUUGAAGAAAGAGCUCAAUCCUUCUGCAUAGCGGAGGUCUAUGGCAUUUUCGAGUUUUUAGGAAAGCCUGUGACUUUAGCUACUCAGGUUUGGGUGCUUCUGGGAUGUGAAGCAGAGGAUCAAGUGGCACGACAUGAAUCAGGAGUAAUGAGACGAAGAGGAGCUGUGGGUGGGCCACAGAAAGUACAGUUUGGAUCCAGUGGUGACCAGUCCCAACCAGAAGGUGCAAGCACUCAGAAGUUCACGGGAGUGAACCAGAAUCCCCGUCAUCCCAGAGAGAGGCCAUCUAAUUGCUGGCAAGUUUCAGCUUGACUCACCAAGGAAUUUGAACUCCAACACUCUGAGACAGUCACAUUCAGCUCUGGAUGAAUGGUUCCCGGAAGUAGGAUUUCCCAAGAAGGUAUUGGGAGAGGAA
RNAcentral lists this long non-coding RNA (761 nucleotides) under Equus caballus (horse). Its description in RNAcentral is "lncRNA (ENSECAG00000042660.2)". Lineage: Eukaryota; Metazoa; Chordata; Mammalia; Perissodactyla; Equidae. The record is from RNAcentral.